This 495-nucleotide ribosomal RNA is filed under the name uncultured bacterium. Its description in RNAcentral is "partial 16S ribosomal RNA". It matches the Rfam family "Bacterial small subunit ribosomal RNA", at positions 28 to 507 of the family's 1533-position model. The record is from RNAcentral.
GACGAACGCUGGCGGCGUGCCUAAUACAUGCAAGUAGAACGCUGAAGGAGGAUCUUGCUCUUCUGGAUGAGUUGCGCACGGGUGAGUAACGCGUAGGUAACCUGCCUGGUAGCGGGGGAUAACUAUUGGAAACGGUAGCUAAUACCGCAUAAGAGUAGAUGUUGCAUGACAUUUGCUUAACAGGUGCAAUUGCAUCGCUACCAGAUGGACCUGCGUUGUAUUUGCUAGUUGGUGGGGUAACGGCUCACCAAGGCGACGAUACAUAGCCGACCUGGGAGGGUGAUCGGCCACACUGGGAAUGAGACAAGGACCAGACCUCUAAGGGAGGCAGCAGUAGGGAAUCUUCGGCAAUGGGCGGAAGUCUGACCGAGCAAAGCCGCGGGAGUGAAGAAGGUUGUCGGAUCGUAAAGGUAGGUUGUAAGAGAAGAACGAGUGUGAGAGUGGAAAGUUGACACUGUGACGGUAUCUUACGAGAAAGCGACGGCUAACUACGUG